CCUACGGGAGGCUGCAGUAGGGAAUAUUGCUCAAUGGGGGAAACCCUGAAGCAGCAACGCCGCGUGAAGGAUGAAGGUUUUCGGAUUGUAAACUCCUUUUGUUAGAGCAGAUAAUGACGGUAUCUAACGAAUAAGCACCGGCUAACUCCGUGCCAGCAGCCUCGGUAAUACGGAGGGUGCAAGCGUUACUCGGAAUCACUGGGCGUAAAGAGCGCGUAGGCGGGAUGGCAAGUCAGAUGUGAAAUCCUAUGGCUUAACCAUAGAACUGCAUUUGAAACUGUUAUUCUAGAGGAUGGGAGAGGUAAGUGGAAUUCCUGGUGUAGCGGUAAAAUGCGUAGAGAUCAGGAGGAAUACUGGUGGCGAAGGCGACCUACUGGAACGUAACUGACGCUGAUGCGCGAAAGCGUGGGGAGCAAACAGGAUUAGAUACCCGAGUAGUC
Molecule: ribosomal RNA, 440 nt
Filed under: uncultured bacterium
Lineage: Bacteria
Description: partial 16S ribosomal RNA
Rfam family: Bacterial small subunit ribosomal RNA
Source: RNAcentral